This 468-nucleotide ribosomal RNA is filed under the name uncultured bacterium. RNAcentral's name for it is "partial 16S ribosomal RNA". It matches the Rfam family "Bacterial small subunit ribosomal RNA", at positions 28 to 507 of the family's 1533-position model. The record is from RNAcentral.
GACGAACGCUGGCGGCGUGCUUAACACAUGCAAGUCGAACGGAAAGGCCCUGCUUUUGUGGGGUGCCCGAGUGGCGAACGGGUGCGUAACACGUGAGUAUCCUGCCCUUGACUUUGGGAUAACUUCAGGAAACUGGGGCUAAUACCGGAUCGCAGCCCCCCUUGCAUGGUGGGGGUUGGAAAGUUUCGGCGGUUGGGGAUGGACUGGCGGCUUAUCGGUUUGCUGGUGGGGGAGUGGCUUACCCAGGCUUUGGCCGGUAGCCGGCCUGUGUGGGUGACCGGCCACAAUGGGACUGAGAGACGGCCCAGUCGCGAACGGGAGGCAGCAGGGGGGAAUAUUGCACAAUGGGCGGAAGCCUGAGGCAGCAGCGCCCCGUGCGGGAUGACGGCCUUCUGGGUAUAAACAGCUUUCGCCUGUGACGAAGCGGGAGUGACGGUAAUGGGUAAAGAAGCACCGGCUAACUACGUG